CCAUGGGUGCUGUGUAACCCAGUGUCUUAUUUAGUUAAAGGUAAUUAACAUAGGCUGCACUUUAGGUGGCACAUCCAUGGGUGCAGUGUAACCUAGUGUUGCUAAUGAGUGACUGUAACCCAGUUCAGUUUUUUCUAGAAAGUGCUGUCCUUUAAGUAGCAUAAAGACACGCAGACAUUCUCUUUAAGACAAUGAAAUUGGUGUGAGGGAACAUUUCUUCAAGUAGUAUGGUAGCACAAUGUUAUGUAAUUAAUGCAUUUUUCGAAAUGUUUAGUACUUUUCAGAAGCUUUAAGCAAGGGCACUUUUGUAAGAGAUUUUGGUACACAUACUGAGAUAAUUGAUUUGGAAGGCUCAGAUAUUAAAGCUGACAUGGAGCCUCGCCUUGUUCAGUGGCAAGGCAAGUUGGAUGAGCUACAUGUCUUUUUCAAGAAGUUGUGCAAGUCACGCAAAAAGUCACUAUUCACUAUUCACUAUUGUUUUUCUUGCGUUAGAUCUGCUUUUUUCGAUUCGAUUGCACCUUGACUAUUUUUGUACCGCUACUCCUCUUGCGUUAUAUUUAUUUAAAUGAGCAAUUUUUAAAAGACAGAAAUGUCCUUCUUUCAAUAACGUGGCGGAAUAAAACAAUUACACAAAGAUGUUACUAUGAUACUUUUUGGUACGAAAUAUUUUAUUUUUGACCAGCACUGUUAUGCCUAAUUUUGUCCAUAAACGGACAAAAUUGCUCCGAUUUUGAGACGACAUUACAGCUUUUU
Molecule: non-coding RNA, 753 nt
Organism: Pocillopora verrucosa
Lineage: Eukaryota; Metazoa; Cnidaria; Anthozoa; Scleractinia; Pocilloporidae
Source: RefSeq, a predicted model, not a curated record